Molecule: ribosomal RNA, 493 nt
Filed under: uncultured bacterium
Lineage: Bacteria
Description: partial 16S ribosomal RNA
Rfam family: Bacterial small subunit ribosomal RNA
Source: RNAcentral
AUUGAACGCUGGCGGCAUGCUUUACACAUGCAAGUCGAACGGUAACAGGUUAAGCUGACGAGUGGCGAACGGGUGAGUAAUGCAUCGGAACGUGCCCGAUCGUGGGGGAUAACGCAGCGAAAGCUGCGCUAAUACCGCAUACGAUCCGAGGAUGAAAGCGGGGGACCGUAAGGCCUCGCGCGAUCGGAGCGGCCGAUGUCAGAUUAGGUAGUUGGUGGGGUAAAGGCCCACCAAGCCGCCGAUCUGUAGCUGGUCUGAGAGGACGACCAGCCACACUGGGACUGAGACACGGCCCAGACUCCUACGGGAGGCAGCAGUGGGGAAUUUUGGACAAUGGGCGAAAGCCUGAUCCAGCAAUGCCGCGUGCAGGAAGAAGGCCUUCGGGUUGUAAACUGCUUUUGUACGGAGCGAAAAGGUCCUUUCUAAUACAAGGGGCUCAUGACGGUACCGUAAGAAUAAGCACCGGCUAACUACAUGCCAGCAGCCGCAGUAA